This is an unclassified non-coding RNA of Macaca fascicularis (crab-eating macaque), 162 nucleotides long. It matches the Rfam family "Metazoan signal recognition particle RNA". From Rfam's summary of the family: The signal recognition particle (SRP) is a universally conserved ribonucleoprotein. It is involved in the co-translational targeting of proteins to membranes. The eukaryotic SRP consists of a 300-nucleotide 7S RNA and six proteins: SRPs 72, 68, 54, 19, 14, and 9. Lineage: Eukaryota; Metazoa; Chordata; Mammalia; Primates; Cercopithecidae. The record is from Ensembl.
GCCGGGCAUGGUGGCGCAUGCCUGUAGUCCUGACUACUCAGGAGGCUGAGGUGGGAGGAUGGCUCGUACCCAGGAGUUCAAGGCUGCAGUGAGCCACGAUCGCACCUGUCAAGAGCCGCUGUACUACUCCAGCCUGGGCAACAUAGUGAGACCCCAUCUCUA